UACAGAGGUCCCGAGCGUUGUUCGGAUUCACUGGGCGUAAAGGGUGCGCAGGUGGGUUUGCAAGUUCGAUGUGAAAGCCCCGGGCUUAACCCGGGAAUGGCAUUGGGUACUGCAGAUCUGGAGGAUCGGAGGGGGGACUGGAAUUCUUGGUGUAGCAGUGAAAUGCGUAGAUAUCAAGAGGAACACCAGUGGCGAAGGCGAGUCCCUGGACGAUACCUGACACUGAGGCACGAAAGCUAGGGGAGCGAAUGGG
RNAcentral lists this ribosomal RNA (253 nucleotides) under uncultured bacterium. RNAcentral's name for it is "partial 16S ribosomal RNA". It matches the Rfam family "Bacterial small subunit ribosomal RNA", at positions 524 to 776 of the family's 1533-position model. The record is from RNAcentral.